This is a non-coding RNA of Acanthosepion pharaonis, 88 nucleotides long. NCBI's taxonomy places the organism in Eukaryota, Metazoa, Mollusca, Cephalopoda, Sepiida, Sepiidae. The record is from the annotation of a GenBank genome assembly.
AUUGAAACACCGGUUCCCAUACCAAAGUUAAGCAACAUCGAGCCUGUUUAGUAUUUAGAUGGGUGACUGCUUGGGAAAACCUGGUGCU